GACGAACGCUGGCGGCGUGCCUAAUACAUGCAAGUCGAACGCAGUGGGGACGGUUGAGUAACACGUGGGUAACCUCCCCAUCACAGGGGAUAACAAUUGGAAACAGGUGCUAUACCGGUAAUGAUGGAUGGUCCCGCGGUGCAUUAGCUAGUUGGUGAGGUAACGGCUCACCAAGGCCACGAUGCAUAGCCGGCCUGAGAGGAUGAUCAGCCACACUGGGACUGAGACACGGCCCAGACUCCUACGGGAGGCAGCAGUGGGGAAUAUUCGACAAUGGGCGAAAGGCUGACCGAGCAACGCCGCGUGCGUGAAGAAGGUUGUCGGUUCGUAAAGCUCUGUUGUUAGAGAAGCGGUAUCUACACAGAAAGCAACGGCUAACUCCGUGCCAGCAGCCGCGGUAAUAC
This 404-nucleotide ribosomal RNA is filed under the name uncultured bacterium. Its description in RNAcentral is "partial 16S ribosomal RNA". It matches the Rfam family "Bacterial small subunit ribosomal RNA", at positions 28 to 526 of the family's 1533-position model. The record is from RNAcentral.